This 532-nucleotide ribosomal RNA is filed under the name Saitozyma flava. Its description in RNAcentral is "eukaryotic LSU rRNA". It matches the Rfam family "Eukaryotic large subunit ribosomal RNA", at positions 122 to 644 of the family's 3401-position model. The record is from RNAcentral. Lineage: Eukaryota; Fungi; Basidiomycota; Tremellomycetes; Tremellales; Trimorphomycetaceae.
UGGCGUCCUCCGGGCGUCCGAGUUGUAAUCUAUAGAGACGUUUUCCGUGCCGGACCGUGUCCAAGUCCCUUGGAACAGGGUAUCAAAGAGGGUGACAAUCCCGUACUUGACACGACGACCGGUGCUCUGUGAUACGUUUUCUACGAGUCGAGUUGUUUGGGAAUGCAGCUCAAAAUGGGUGGUAAAUUCCAUCUAAAGCUAAAUAUAGGCGAGAGACCGAUAGCGAACAAGUACCGUGAGGGAAAGAUGAAAAGCACUUUGGAAAGAGAGUUAAACAGUAUGUGAAAUUGUUGAAAGGGAAACGAUUGAAGUCAGUCAUGUCCAUUGGAUUCAGCUGGUUCUGCCAGUGUAUUUCCUUUGGACGGGUCAACAUCAGUUUGAGCCGACGGAUAAUGGCAGAGGGAAUGUGGCACCCCCGGGUGUGUUAUAGCCCUUUGUCGCAUACGUCGGCCCAGACUGAGGAAUGCAGCUCGCCUUUAUGGCCGGGGUUCGCCCACGUACGAGCUUAGGAUGUUGGCAUAAUGGCUUUAAA